CCCUUCGAUGUUCUGGGCCGCACGCGUGCUACAAUGAUGGAAUCAAAGAGUAAAGUGGGUGUUGGGGUGUGCAAGCAUGUCAGCAUUUGGUUGUGACUUGAUUGAAAGGUCUGGUUAAUCUUUGGAAAUUUCAUCGUACUAUGAAUUGUUGAUUGCAAUUAUUUGACAUGAAAUAGGAAUGCCUAGUAGGUGUAAUUCAUCAGAUUACGCCGAUUACGUCCCUGCCCUUUGUACACACCGCCCGUCGCUCCUACCGAUUGGAAUAAACGGUGAAGAAUUUGGAGGUUAAGAGUGGGUCUUGAUCUACUUUUGAUUGAAGUUUUCUAAAUCUCUUGUUCUAGAGGAAGGAGAAGUCGUAACA
This 361-nucleotide ribosomal RNA is filed under the name uncultured eukaryote. RNAcentral describes it as "partial 18S ribosomal RNA". It matches the Rfam family "Eukaryotic small subunit ribosomal RNA", at positions 1470 to 1796 of the family's 1831-position model. The record is from RNAcentral.